This is a long non-coding RNA of Rhagoletis pomonella (apple maggot), 588 nucleotides long. RefSeq lists it as uncharacterized. The transcript has 3 exons. Lineage: Eukaryota; Metazoa; Arthropoda; Insecta; Diptera; Tephritidae. The record is from RefSeq and is a predicted model, not a curated record.
CCGUAAGAGAACUCAUUGAGACAGAGGAAGAAUUUGGCAGAGAUUUACAAAACAUAGUUGACCGUUACAUCAAACCUACCGACAAAUCUGCAGCCCCGCGCAUUGUUCGAGACAGUAAAGACAUUAUCUUCACAAAUUUUCAACAAAUUGCCGAAUUUCACAACUUAGUAUUAAUAGAAGGACUUAAAUAUUACUCGGAGCAACCCAACAUGAUAGCUAAAACGUUUCUAAGACUUGAAAGGGAUUUCGACAAGCAUGUUAAAUACUGUGAAACAGAACCUCUCGCUCAAGCAUUUCUCACAGAAAACAAAGAAGCCAAUGAAUAUUUUCAGCUUACCUGGAAAUACAUCGAUUACAACAAAAAACACAAAUAAUACCCAGAUUUCUGCGACGGAUUAUGGUAGAAGGGAACCGAUCAAAAUUUCCCCCUUUUUGCACAUUCUUUUGGUAAAUCGGCUGUUACGUAAUUGGAUGCCGGGGCACGGCGCGGGGUAUGAAGGCAUGUUGGCGACCCCAGGCUAAAAAAAAUUUGCAUCGAUAACUUAAAGUUGUGAUACACAAUGGCUAGAGGCGUCGCACUAUAGGCAA